GGAGGAAAAGAAACCAACAGGGAUUGCCUCAGUAGCGGCGAGUGAAGCGGCAAGAGCUCAGAUUUGAAAUCUCACCUAGUGUGCGAGUUGUAAAUUGCAGGUUGGAGUCUCGGGUUAGACGUGUGUGCAAGUCCCUUGGAACAGGGUGCCACUGAGGGUGAGAGCCCCGUAGCGUGCAUGUCGACACCUGUGAGGCCCUUCUGACGAGUCGAGUUGUUUGGGAAUGCAGCUCUAAGUGGGUGGUAAAUUCCAUCUAAGGCUAAAUAUUGGCGAGAGACCGAUAGCGAACAAGUACUGUGAAGGAAAGAUGAAAAGCACUUUGAAAAGAGAGUGAAACAGCACGUGAAAUUGUUGAAAGGGAAGGGUAUUGGGCUCGACAUGGGAUUUACGCAUCGUUGCCUCUCGUGGGCGGCGCUCUGGGUUUUUCCUGGGCCAGCAUCGGUUUUCGUUGCAGGAUAAGGACAAUUGGAAUGUGGCUCCUCGGAGUGUUAUAGCCUUUUGUAGAUGCUGCGUAUGGGGACCGAGGGCUGCGGCGGACUCGUUUCGUCUCGGAUGCUGGCACAACGGCGCAAUACCGCCCGUCUU
This 585-nucleotide ribosomal RNA is filed under the name Pichia kluyveri. RNAcentral describes it as "eukaryotic LSU rRNA". It matches the Rfam family "Eukaryotic large subunit ribosomal RNA", at positions 52 to 655 of the family's 3401-position model. The record is from RNAcentral. Lineage: Eukaryota; Fungi; Ascomycota; Pichiomycetes; Pichiales; Pichiaceae.